CAGCAGCCGCGGUAAUACGGAGGGGGCUAGCGUUGUUCGGAAUUACUGGGCGUAAAGCGCACGUAGGCGGCUUGGUAAGUUAGAGGUGAAAGCCUGGAGCUCAACUCCAGAAUUGCCUUUAAGACUGCCGAGCUAGCAGGUGAGAGAGGUAAGUGGAAUUCCGAGUGUAGAGGUGAAAUUCGUAGAUAUUCGGAAGAACACCAGUGGCGAAGGCGGCUUACUGGCUCAUACUGGACGCUGAGAUGCGAAAGCGUGGGGAGCAAGCAGGAUUAGAUACCCGGGUAGUCCCUGUCUCUUAUAC
This 301-nucleotide ribosomal RNA is filed under the name uncultured bacterium. RNAcentral describes it as "partial 16S ribosomal RNA". It matches the Rfam family "Bacterial small subunit ribosomal RNA", at positions 509 to 807 of the family's 1533-position model. The record is from RNAcentral.